GUCGAGCGGACAGAAGGGAGCUUGCUCCCGGAUGUUAGCGGCGGACGGGUGAGUAACACGUGGGUAACCUGCCUGUAAGACUGGGAUAACUCCGGGAAACCGGAGCUAAUACCGGAUAGUUCCUUGAACCGCAUGGUUCAAGGAUGAAAGACGGUUUCGGCUGUCACUUACAGAUGGACCCGCGGCGCAUUAGCUAGUUGGUGGGGUAAUGGCUCACCAAGGCGACGAUGCGUAGCCGACCUGAGAGGGUGAUCGGCCACACUGGGACUGAGACACGGCCCAGACUCCUACGGGAGGCAGCAGUAGGGAAUCUUCCGCAAUGGACGAAAGUCUGACGGAGCAACGCCGCGUGAGUGAUGAAGGUUUUCGGAUCGUAAAGCUCUGUUGUUAGGGAAGAACAAGUGCGAGAGUAACUGCUCGCACCUUGACGGUACCUAACCAGAAAGCCACGGCUAACUACGUGCCAGCAGCCGCGGUAAUACGUAGGUGGCAAGCGUUGUCCGGAAUUAUUGGGCGUAAAGGGCUCGCAGGCGGUUUCUUAAGUCUGAUGUGAAAGCCCCCGGCUCAACCGGGGAGGGUCAUUGGAAACUGGGAAACUUGAGUGCAGAAGAGGA
Molecule: ribosomal RNA, 614 nt
Filed under: Bacillus zhangzhouensis
Lineage: Bacteria; Bacillati; Bacillota; Bacilli; Caryophanales; Bacillaceae
Description: bacterial SSU rRNA
Rfam family: Bacterial small subunit ribosomal RNA
Source: RNAcentral